Molecule: ribosomal RNA, 253 nt
Filed under: uncultured bacterium
Lineage: Bacteria
Description: partial 16S ribosomal RNA
Rfam family: Bacterial small subunit ribosomal RNA
Source: RNAcentral
UACAGAGGGUGCGAGCGUUGCUCGGAAUCAUUGGGCGUAAAGCGCACGUAGGCGGUUCGUUAUGUCGGAUGUGAAAGCCCUUGGCUUAACCGAGGAAGUGCAUCCGAAACUGGCGAGCUAGAGUACGAAAGAGGAUCGCGGAAUUCCCGGUGUAGAGGUGAAAUUCGUAGAUAUCGGGAGGAACACCGGUGGCGAAGGCGGCGAUCUGGGUCGAUACUGACGCUGAGGUGCGAAAGCGUGGGGAGCAAACAGG